GUGCUGCUCUAGAGGAACAAAUAAUGGCGACUUUGGACUCCGACGUGGCCAUGGUUCCAGUCGACGACGCAUCCAGCAAUGCUGCUUCGUCCUCCUCUUCCUCCUCCAAGAAGCCCAAACGCUUUGAGAUCAAAAAGUGGAACGCCGUUGCUCUCUGGGCAUGGGAUAUUGUUGUGGAUAAUUGUGCAAUUUGUAGGAACCAUAUUAUGGAUCUAUGCAUCGAGUGCCAAGCGAACCAGGCUAGUGCCACCAGCGAGGAAUGCACUGUUGCUUGGGGGGUUUGUAACCAUGCAUUUCAC
Molecule: unclassified non-coding RNA, 299 nt
Filed under: Hevea brasiliensis (rubber tree)
Lineage: Eukaryota; Viridiplantae; Streptophyta; Magnoliopsida; Malpighiales; Euphorbiaceae
Source: RNAcentral